This 1337-nucleotide long non-coding RNA is filed under the name Citrus sinensis (sweet orange). RNAcentral describes it as "long non-coding RNA (CSIN_LNC001545)". The record is from RNAcentral. Lineage: Eukaryota; Viridiplantae; Streptophyta; Magnoliopsida; Sapindales; Rutaceae.
CCCCCCCCCACACACACAGAUAUAUAUAUAUAUAUAUGCGCGCGCGCACGUACACGUACAAAUUAAAUGGGUCAAAACACAGGUAGGUAGGGGUAUAGAGGUAGCGUACCUUGCAGAUUCAGGCAUCGUCAUACGCCAAUAAUAGGUGAAAGCAGCCGGAAUAGAACCCAGCAUGAGAAUCAACCUCCAGGCAAUAUCAGCUUGAUGCUGCCUCUUGUUGACAUCGUUGUCCCGAGUUGUGGUUGCCUCAAAGAUUUUGCAAACCGCCAUGGUGACCGUAGAGCUGGCCAAGAUACCAAAGCCCUGCAUAGAAAAAACCGCCGCAAUGAAGGCGCCACGCGUCAUCUUGUUAGCGAACUCGGACAUGAUGGUAGCAGAUAAGGGAUAGUCCCCGCCGAUGCCAACUCCAAGCAAGAACCUGAAGAAGCCUAGACUCCCGAGGACGCAUUGUUUAGUGGUGCAAAUGGAGAAGCCACAUGCAAGGGAGCUAAGCACCAUCAACAUCAAUGCUAAUCCGUACACGCGCCGACGUCCGAUGAGGUCACCUAGUCUGCCGAAGACCAGCUGCCCUAUCACCGUGCCCAGUAAAGCCAGGGCUAACAUCGGCGAUACGACCGCGUUUGGGAUUUGGAAUCGAUCGGCGCCAUCGCUGUAGUAGAUUCUUCCGAGGAGCUUCAUGAUGGGCGGGAUACAGAAGAGGUCAUAGGCAUCGGUAAAGAGCCCCAUCCCGGCUAUUAUUAUGGCUUUGAAGUGAUAGUACUGGGUCUUUGCUGAGUCUAGCGCUGAGAGCACUUUCAACGCCAUUCUUAUUUAUUUUUUUCUUAUCUCUUUAUUCUGCUUGCUCUUGAUCAUCAGCGAGCUGGAUAUUUAUAUAGCUCAUGAACAAUUAAUUCAAGAUCUCUCUCUCUCUCUCUCUCUCUCUCUGUAUAUAUAAUCAAAAACGACAAAGUAAACUAGUGGGUUAAUUUUUUGUUGUUUUUCUUCUUCUUCUAUGUAUAUAUAUAUCUGCUGUACGGCCAAGGCGGAUGUACGGUACAGCAGUUCCCCCCCCCCACACACACAGAUAUAUAUAUAUAUAUAUGCGCGCGCGCACGUACACGUACAAAUUAAAUGGGUCAAAACACAGGUAGGUAGGGGUAUAGAGGUAGCGUACCUUGCAGAUUCAGGCAUCGUCAUACGCCAAUAAUAGGUGAAAGCAGCCGGAAUAGAACCCAGCAUGAGAAUCAACCUCCAGGCAAUAUCAGCUUGAUGCUGCCUCUUGUUGACAUCGUUGUCCCGAGUUGUGGUUGCCUCAAAGAUUUUGCAAACCGCCAUGGUGACCGUAGAGCUGGCCAAGA